UAUGCGCAGAACAAGGAAAAA
Molecule: non-coding RNA, 21 nt
Filed under: Caenorhabditis elegans
Lineage: Eukaryota; Metazoa; Nematoda; Chromadorea; Rhabditida; Rhabditidae
Source: RNAcentral